GGGUUGUGAGGUUAAGCGACUAAGCGUACACGGUGGAUGCCCUGGCAGUCAGAGGCGAUGAAGGGCGUGCUAAUCUGCGAUAAGCGCCGGUAAGGUGAUAUGAACCGUUAUAACCGGCGAUACCCGAAUGGGGAAACCCAGUGUGAUUCGUCACACUAUCAUUAACUGAAUCCAUAGGUUAAUGAGGCGAACCGGGGGAACUGAAACAUCUAAGUACCCCGAGGAAAAGAAAUCAACCGAGAUUCCCCCAGUAGCGGCGAGCGAACGGGGAGGAGCCCAGAGCCUGAAUCAGCAUGUGUGUUAGUGGAAGCGUCUGGAAAGGCGCGCGAUACAGGGUGACAGCCCCGUACACAAAAGCGCAUGUGCUGUGAGCUCGAUGAGUAGGGCGGGACACGUGGUAUCCUGUCUGAAUAUGGGGGGACCAUCCUCCAAGGCUAAAUACUCCUGACUGACCGAUAGUGAACCAGUACCGUGAGGGAAAGGCGAAAAGAACCCCGGCGAGGGGAGUGAAAAAGAACCUGAAACCGUGUACGUACAAGCAGUGGGAGCACAGGUUUACCUGUGUGACUGCGUACCUUUUGUAUAAUGGGUCAGCGACUUAUAUUCUGUAGCAAGGUUAACCGAAUAGGGGAGCCGGAGGGAAACCGAGUCUUAACCGGGCGUUAAGUUGCAGGGUAUAGACCCGAAACCCGGUGAUCUAGCCAUGGGCAGGUUGAAGGUUGGGUAACACUAACUGGAGGACCGAACCGACUAAUGUUGAAAAAUUAGCGGAUGACCUGUGGCUGGGGGUGAAAGGCCAAUCAAACCGGGAGAUAGCUGGUUCUCCCCGAAAGCUAUUUAGGUAGCGCCUCGUGAAUUCAUCUCCGGGGGUAGAGCACUGUUUCGGCUAGGGGGCCAUCCCGGCUUACCAACCCGAUGCAAACUGCGAAUACCGGAGAAUGUUAUCACGGGAGACACACGGCGGGUGCUAACGUCCGUCGUGAAGAGGGAAACAACCCAGACCGCCAGCUAAGGUCCCAAAGUCAUGGUUAAGUGGGAAACGAUGUGGGAAGGCCCAGACAGCCAGGAUGUUGGCUUAGAAGCAGCCAUCAUUUAAAGAAAGCGUAAUAGCUCACUGGUCGAGUCGGCCUGCGCGGAAGAUGUAACGGGGCUAAACCAU
RNAcentral lists this ribosomal RNA (1159 nucleotides) under Salmonella enterica. RNAcentral describes it as "partial 23S ribosomal RNA". It matches the Rfam family "Bacterial large subunit ribosomal RNA", at positions 1 to 1190 of the family's 2925-position model. The record is from RNAcentral. Lineage: Bacteria; Pseudomonadati; Pseudomonadota; Gammaproteobacteria; Enterobacterales; Enterobacteriaceae.